RNAcentral lists this long non-coding RNA (206 nucleotides) under Gallus gallus (chicken). The record is from RNAcentral. Lineage: Eukaryota; Metazoa; Chordata; Aves; Galliformes; Phasianidae.
GGCUGGACAGGUCAGCACUGGGAUCCAGAGACCCAACGGCCUUGUAAGUAAUCUCAUAAAGUGUAAUGAUGCCAUUUGUCUCAUUUGGAGGCUUCCACUGAACAUAGAUCUUCUCUUCAAAAGGUCCUCCCUGGAUGGAUUCCAAGGGAACAGGUCCAGGAACAUCCUCCUCAGUCUGCACAACUAGCUCCUCACUCUCCAUUUUG